Molecule: ribosomal RNA, 253 nt
Filed under: uncultured bacterium
Lineage: Bacteria
Also listed under: 1 other name
Description: partial 16S ribosomal RNA
Rfam family: Bacterial small subunit ribosomal RNA
Source: RNAcentral
UACGUAGGUGGCGAGCGUUGUCCGGAAUUACUGGGUGUAAAGCGCGUGUAGGCGGGAGGCCAAGUCUGUGGUGAAAUCGCCUGGCUUAACUGGGCGGGGUCCAUGGAAACUGGUCACCUGGAGGUCGGUAGAGGCAAGUGGAAUUCCCGGUGUAGUGGUGAAAUGCGUAGAGAUCGGGAGGAACACCAGUGGCGAAGGCGGCUUGCUGGGCCGGACCUGACGCUGAGACGCGAAGGCGUGGGGAGCGAACGGG